GCCAACAUUUAAAAAAAGAAACUAUUUGGAGUAGCAUUUAAGAAAUGCAAGAAACUACUAAAAAUCGUUAAAAAGUACUUAAAAACUUGUUUACUUGACUGUUAAAUAAACUUUUCAACAAAUAAAAAAUAAAAAAUUAAUUAAAAUAACUCGUGAAACGUAACCUUAAACACAUUGUACAGGCUCUUCCUCCUUUUAUUUGAUCAGCAUUCAAUACGUGAAGGGAAUAGAGCUGUUGACUCCUUCGCAAAGCAUCGCAUGUCCAUGCUGGAGGCUUCCUUUUCUAGUUUAUGUUGUCCUUCCUUUGUAAUUUGUUCCUUGUUGAGGAUUUAGAACAGGAUUGAUCCAAUGGGUCUAAAGCAGAUUUUAAAAAAAUAUAUUUUAUACUAAAUGAAAAAUUAUAUAUAAAACAUUUUUGUCAUAUGUAACAUUAUUUCUAAUAAAAAUGGUGUGUUUUGCUCUAUCAAAACUAAAAGUAAUUUUGUUGGUGGAUCCAAUUGUUUUAUUUAUCCUUGGUUGUUGCUUGGGGCAUCCAGUAUUUUUGCUGGGGCACCCAGUAUUUUUGCUGGGACACCCACCAACUCGAAAGAAAGGGCGAAAAUGUCAUUCACCCUUUCCUAUAAAAGACAAAUAGUGACUCGUCCGUACGAGUCACUAUUCAACUUUUUUUUUGUGCUCUUCCUCCUUCCUCCGUUCCGUGCCGUUCAUGGUUCCGCUGCUUUUGCCGUUCGUGGUGCGUUCAUGCUGCUGUUGCUGUCGUGACUGUGUUGUGUUGUUGCUGCUUCUUCCUUCUUCUUCUCCUUCAAGAAUGUCACGUUCUCGUGCGUCGUCAUCACGUUGGACCAGUCUCAAUGAGGAACUGAAACAACUUCUUGCGGAUGUGCCUAAGCACGGGGAAUGGAGGGAAUUGACAAACAUGAUGCAAAAUGUCGCGGCUCCACUAGAGGCUUUUUUCUAGACCGUUUACGUCAGAGACCAGAUUUUCAGUGAAGUUGGUAAGGUAUAUGCUGUCAAGUGGAAUGAUGUACUGGACAGUGUAUGGCAUUUGGUUGACAAAGAAGAAAAUUAUCAUAACGUUGUGUACAACAAAGAUUUGGACCAACCAGCCAUUGUAGCAGGAAGGACAACACUACAAGAUUUUUACCAGCUGACCGAAGAUUAUCCAGUCUCCUUAACUCAUUAUGGUAAUAAUGCAUUUUUUAUUACCAUAUUUAAGACCAGUUCCCUGCCCAAGUCAUUCCCAAGAUGACACUCUGUAUACCAUCAAGUGCCAGAUUCUAUCAUCUUCAAGGUUUAUCUCACUCAACAGAAAGUAACCUGUAGCAGUCUGGACGUUUCAAGUAGCAUGUAUUAUUUUCUUAAAGACAAAGGUUGAACUCAUUUGCACUUGGAGGAUGUUGCAGAAUGCCGGCUCGUGUUCAAUCAUUGGAGGAAGACACUUAAAAUUGGAGCCGGAUGGAAACAUUUAUGCGAGAUCUUGUUGUUAACUGCUGACAUGGAAAUAGUUUUUGAAUUCAUUGAUCCCAAUGUUAACCGUGUGCUUUAUUGGCAGUGUUUAUGAACAAUUUAGGAUUUUAAACAUUUUAAUUACUUCGA
This is a long non-coding RNA of Glycine soja, 1596 nucleotides long. RefSeq lists it as uncharacterized. NCBI's taxonomy places the organism in Eukaryota, Viridiplantae, Streptophyta, Magnoliopsida, Fabales, Fabaceae. The transcript has 5 exons. The record is from RefSeq and is a predicted model, not a curated record.